UGGGGAAUUUUGGACAAUGGGGGAAACCCUGAUCCAGCCAUACCGCGUGUGCGAUGAAGGCCUUCGGGUUGUAAAGCACUUUUGGCAGGAAAGAAAAGUCAUGGGUUAAUACCCCGUGAAACUGACGGUACCUGCAGAAUAAGCACCGGCUAACUACGUGCCAGCAGCCGCGGUAAUACGUAGGGUGCAAGCGUUAAUCGGAAUUACUGGGCGUAAAGCGUGCGCAGGCGGUUCGGAAAGAAAGAUGUGAAAUCCCAGAGCUCAACUUUGGAACUGCAUUUUUAACUACCGGGCUAGAGUGUGUCAGGGGGAGGUGAAAUUCCGCGUGUAGCAGUGAAAUGCGUAGAUAUGCGGAGGAACACCGAUGGCGAAGGCAGCCUCCUGGGAUAACACUGACGCUCAUGCACGAAAGCGUGGGGAGCAAACAGG
Molecule: ribosomal RNA, 429 nt
Filed under: Acidobacteriota bacterium
Lineage: Bacteria; Pseudomonadati; Acidobacteriota
Description: Acidobacteria bacterium partial 16S ribosomal RNA
Rfam family: Bacterial small subunit ribosomal RNA
Source: RNAcentral